This 255-nucleotide unclassified non-coding RNA is filed under the name Glomus sp. RNAcentral describes it as "partial contains 5.8S ribosomal RNA and internal transcribed spacer 2". The stretch from base 1 to 71 matches the Rfam family "5.8S ribosomal RNA", at positions 84 to 154 of the family's 154-position model. The record is from RNAcentral. Lineage: Eukaryota; Fungi; Glomeromycota; Glomeromycetes; Glomerales; Glomeraceae.
GUGAAUCAUCAAAUUUUUGAACGCAUAUUGCACUCCCCGGCAUUCCGGGGAGUAUGCCUGUUUCAGCAUCAGAAUCAUCCUCGAUCCCACGGGACGGACUCCUAUCUCGUAUGCCAUCUGCUUCUUGAAGAAAAAAAAUAGGUUAAGUGACCUAAAAUUUUGCAUGAUUUUUUUCGAACGUAUUUAAAUGAUAUUACGUACGUUUGCGAGAUCGAAGACUAGGUGUGGUCAUCCUCAUGAUUCGCGCCUAUAAUU